RNAcentral lists this ribosomal RNA (433 nucleotides) under uncultured bacterium. RNAcentral's name for it is "partial 16S ribosomal RNA". It matches the Rfam family "Bacterial small subunit ribosomal RNA", at positions 29 to 507 of the family's 1533-position model. The record is from RNAcentral.
AACGAACGCUGGCGGCAUGCCUAACACAUGCAAGUCGAACGAGACCUUCGGGUCUAGUGGCGCACGGGCGCGUAACGCGUGGGAACCUGCCCUUAGGUUCGGAAUAACUCCCCGAAAGGGGUGCUAAUACCGGAUAAUGUCUUCGGACCAAAGAUUUAUCGCCCUUGGAUGGGCCCGCGUUGGAUUAGCUAGUUGGUAGGGUAAAAGCCUACCAAGGCGACGAUCCAUAGCUGGUCUGAGAGGAUGAUCAGCCACACUGGGACUGAGACACGGCCCAGACUCCUACGGGAGGCAGCAGUGGGGAAUAUUGGACAAUGGGCGAAAGCCUGAUCCAGCAAUGCCGCGUGAGUGAUGAAGGCCUUAGGGUUGUAAAGCUCUUUUACCCGGGAUGAUAAUGACAGUACCGGGAGAAUAAGCUCCGGCUAACUCCGUG